This 71-nucleotide transfer RNA is filed under the name Camelus bactrianus (Bactrian camel). It matches the Rfam family "tRNA". From Rfam's summary of the family: Transfer RNA (tRNA) molecules are approximately 80 nucleotides in length. Lineage: Eukaryota; Metazoa; Chordata; Mammalia; Artiodactyla; Camelidae. The record is from Rfam by way of RNAcentral. RNAcentral also lists the same sequence under 2 other names.
GAGGUUAUAGCUCAGUGGUAGAGCACAUGUUUAGCAUGCAUGAUGUUCUAGGUUCCAUCCCUAGAACUUCC